Molecule: small nuclear RNA, 107 nt
Organism: Myotis lucifugus (little brown bat)
Lineage: Eukaryota; Metazoa; Chordata; Mammalia; Chiroptera; Vespertilionidae
Source: Ensembl
GUGCUCACUUCAGCAGCAUACAUACUAAAAUUGGAAUGAUGCAGAGAAAAUUAACAUGGCCCCUGCACAAGGAUGACCUGCAAAUUCUUGAAGCAUUCCAUAUUUAG